Molecule: small nucleolar RNA, 127 nt
Organism: Camelus dromedarius (Arabian camel)
Lineage: Eukaryota; Metazoa; Chordata; Mammalia; Artiodactyla; Camelidae
Source: Ensembl
CAUCCCCUCUUCUCUUUGUCAACUGGACUUAUGUCUUCAUUGGUCAUUCAAGUGGGGCGAAGGAAGGAUCCUUUUAAAAUUCAAGCAAACUGGGUGCUUGUCUUAUAACUUGUCAGAGGAAACAAAU